GUGCGGUUUUUAGAGAGGGGAUGGAUGUAAAAGAGCAACGGGUAAUGGAGAGUCCGCCAAGUUUCUAUUUCUCUCUCAAGAAUAGAUGAAGAACAACGAGUACACCAGAAAUCCGUCUUUGAGUUCGUCUGUCUCAAGGGUAUUCAUGACUUAAGGACUAGGAAUAAGCUCUGUUCGGUGAAUGGCUCUGUGAUUCUUCUUUUGAUUUUCAGUUGGAGGAGCCCGACAGUGAGUUGAAGUUUCGUUCUAGAGGGAGUGAAAAUUUUGGGGUUGUAUAUUUUAGGUUACUUGUAUUUGUAGAGAUAAAAAGAGCAAGAGAGAAAGUACUUUUGUUGGCUGAGAUGUUUCUUGACAAUUUUUUUUUUUCCAUUAUAUGUUGAUUUUAAGUCUUUCAUAUGUGGAGAGAGAAAAAGAAAGAAACACUGAAUAUUUUUUAUUUGUCUCUAAUUUUAAUAUGUUUUCAAAUGUA
Molecule: long non-coding RNA, 469 nt
Organism: Nymphaea colorata (pocket water lily)
Lineage: Eukaryota; Viridiplantae; Streptophyta; Magnoliopsida; Nymphaeales; Nymphaeaceae
Exons: 2
Source: RefSeq, a predicted model, not a curated record